GGCCGUGGUCAGGGACAGCCAGCACGGCUUCGCCGAGGAAAAGCGUUUUCCGUGUGUGUCAAACCCCGGAAGGACGUGGAGGCUGCCACGGGCGCAGGUUCUGCGUGUCCGGCGGGUCCUGACCGCAGCAAGCUCUGCGGGUUGACCGCCGGGCACGGACGCACAGCCACACGGGAAGAGCACGGCUAAGUCGCAAGCAGAAAUGGUGAAAUGCACAGCAAAAACUCUGUAAAGCUCUCAGCAGGCCUCAGCCGGGGGGCAAAAGGACAGUGUACGGUUCAGAAGACACUACCUACCCGACUUACGUCCUGAGGAAGAGCCCACCCUGUAAAUCCAAGGAGAUCCAAGUCGGGCUCAUAGAGGCUUCUAUGAGACACACGUGGAAGUCUGAGGUGGAAGCACGACCCUGGAUUCAACUAUUUAACAUAUACCGUGGAAUGACCCGUCGGUGCCGGGCGGUGCGGAGCCCGAAGCCCCGGUGCAGCUCACGAGCCUGGAGGAGCCGGCGCGCCCAGCGGGAGAAGGCACACAUGGCUGGAGAGCAUGCGCAGAGGGCUGGAGGAGCAUGCGCACACGGCUGGAGAGCGCGCGCAGAGGGCUGGAGAGCACGCGCACACGCCUGGACGAGCCAGCGAGAAGCCAGCCCGCCCGGCUGGAGAGCGUGCCCGCCUGGAACGAGCACGCACACGUUUGGAGAGCACGCUCUGCUGGAGAGCGCGCGUGCACGGCUGAACCGGCCCCGAGUCAGGCACCUGGACACAGGUGACAGCAGGCCCCGACGUGUCGGUGCUGGUGGGACUGCACUUCCCGUUCCGGCUGCACUUUUCAGAAGCACGUGGACAGAAGAGCGGUUCCAAACAGGCAGAUACCUCGUCACUUGAUUUCCGGAGUCUCGGUAAGGCGGCGGAAGUUUGCCGGGGAGUGAGCAUUUUGGACGUUCGGGCUGCGCUCAGGAGCCACAGACUGGGUGACGUGGGAACAACGACGUCCACUUCCUCGGUCCCGCAGGCUCGGUGUCCGAGGUCACGGCUCCAGAAGAUUCGGGGGAACCCGCUCUGGUUCCCAGAUGCCGACUUCUCGCCGUGUCCUCACGUGGUGCAGGGCCAGGGGCCGGCAGGGGUCUCUGCUGCACGGGCACCACUCCCCCAUCACGCAGGCGCCACCCUCCUGCCCUCAUCACCCGCACAGCCACGCUGGGGGGCGGGUUCAACACGUGAACUUGUGAGGACACAACUGUUUUUAGUCCAGAGCAGUAGGACAAACAUCAGUUUGACUGAGUUUGUGUGUCCAAAACAGAGUUUGGCCGGGAGAAAGGAUAUAUAUUUUAUUGGUACCUAACAGUAAGUUUACUUGAGAUGAGAAUCUUCAAUAAUAUGUGUUUAUCCCAAGAAAAACUUUUCACCAGUAAUAAACUUUUCCUUUGAAACCGGAAUUCA
Molecule: long non-coding RNA, 1436 nt
Filed under: Felis catus (domestic cat)
Lineage: Eukaryota; Metazoa; Chordata; Mammalia; Carnivora; Felidae
Description: lncRNA (ENSFCAG00000052806.1)
Source: RNAcentral